Molecule: non-coding RNA, 54 nt
Organism: Salmo salar (Atlantic salmon)
Lineage: Eukaryota; Metazoa; Chordata; Actinopteri; Salmoniformes; Salmonidae
Source: Rfam
UGUACGCAUGACUGUAAGUCGCUUUGGAUAAAAGCAUCCGCUAAAUGAUACAUA